GCUCUGUUGUCCAGGCUGGAGUGUAGUGGUGCCAUCACAGCUGACUGCAGCCUCAACCUCCCAGGUUCAAGUGAUCCUCCCACCUCAGCCUCCUAAGUGGCUGAGACUAUAGGUGCUUGGUACUGUGCCCAACUAAUAUUUGGACUUUUCCUAUAUGUGGGUUCCAGAGGGCUGACUGUGAAAUAUGGGACCAUCUUGUUGCAGGAAAAUAAGCUUAACAUGUCCACUGAUUCUACAUUAUGGCUGGAGUGCAGUGACGUGAUUACAGCUUGCUGCAGCUUCAAAUUCCU
This 290-nucleotide long non-coding RNA is filed under the name Homo sapiens (human). RNAcentral describes it as "non-protein coding lnc-VKORC1L1-4:1". Lineage: Eukaryota; Metazoa; Chordata; Mammalia; Primates; Hominidae. The record is from RNAcentral.